This 752-nucleotide ribosomal RNA is filed under the name Halomonas sp. RNAcentral's name for it is "bacterial SSU rRNA". It matches the Rfam family "Bacterial small subunit ribosomal RNA", at positions 38 to 786 of the family's 1533-position model. Lineage: Bacteria; Pseudomonadati; Pseudomonadota; Gammaproteobacteria; Oceanospirillales; Halomonadaceae. The record is from RNAcentral.
GGGAAUGCGCAGCCUACACAUGCAGUCGAGCGGUAACAGAUCUAGCUUGCUGGAUGCUGACGAGCGGCGGACGGGUGAGUAAUGCAUAGGAAUCUGCCCGAUAGUGGGGGAUAACCUGGGGAAACCCAGGCUAAUACCGCAUACGUCCUACGGGAGAAAGGGGGCUCCGGCUCCCGCUAUGGGAUGAGCCUAUGUCGGAUUAGCUAGUUGGUGAGGUAACGGCUCACCAAGGCGACGAUCCGUAGCUGGUCUGAGAGGAUGAUCAGCCACAUCGGGACUGAGACACGGCCCGAACUCCUACGGGAGGCAGCAGUGGGGAAUAUUGGACAAUGGGGGAAACCCUGAUCCAGCCAUGCCGCGUGUGUGAAGAAGGCCCUCGGGUUGUAAAGCACUUUCAGCGAGGAAGAACGCCUAGCGGUUAAUACCCGCUAGGAAAGACAUCACUCGCAGAAGAAGCACCGGCUAACUCCGUGCCAGCAGCCGCGGUAAUACGGAGGGUGCAAGCGUUAAUCGGAAUUACUGGGCGUAAAGCGCGCGUAGGUGGCUUGAUAAGCCGGUUGUGAAAGCCCCGGGCUCAACCUGGGAACGGCAUCCGGAACUGUCAAGCUAGAGUGCAGGAGAGGAAGGUAGAAUUCCCGGUGUAGCGGUGAAAUGCGUAGAGAUCGGGAGGAAUACCAGUGGCGAAGGCGGCCUUCUGGACUGACACUGACACUGAGGUGCGAAAGCGUGGGUAGCAAACAGGAUUAGUCCCC